GAUGAAGAACGCAGCGAAAUGCGAUAAGUAAUGUGAAUUGCAGAAUUCAGUGAAUCAUCGAAUCUUUGAACGCACAUUGCGCCCGCUGGUAUUCCAGCGGGCAUGUCCGUUCGAGCGUCAUUUCAACCCUCGAACCCCUCCGGGGGGUCGGCGUUGGGGAUCGGCCCCUCACCGGGCCGCCCCCGAAAUCCAGUGGCGGUCUCGCCGCAGCCUCUCCUGCGCAGUAGUUUGCACACUCGCACCGGGAGCGCGGCGCGGCCACAGCCGUAAAACACCCCAAACUCUGAAAUGUUGACCUCGGAUCAGGUAGGAAUACCCGCUGAACUUAAGCAUAUCAAUAAGCGGAGGA
RNAcentral lists this unclassified non-coding RNA (349 nucleotides) under soil metagenome. RNAcentral describes it as "partial contains 5.8S ribosomal RNA, internal transcribed spacer 2, and large subunit ribosomal RNA". The stretch from base 1 to 120 matches the Rfam family "5.8S ribosomal RNA", at positions 35 to 154 of the family's 154-position model. The record is from RNAcentral.